This is a long non-coding RNA of Camelus dromedarius (Arabian camel), 757 nucleotides long. RefSeq lists it as uncharacterized. The record is from RefSeq and is a predicted model, not a curated record. NCBI's taxonomy places the organism in Eukaryota, Metazoa, Chordata, Mammalia, Artiodactyla, Camelidae. The transcript is spliced from 3 exons.
ACUGCACCAGAUGAAUGGCUAAGGAAGACCUGACUCAGGACUUUUGCAAUAGAGACUGAAGCUAUUGCAACAGAAGAGAGAAACUGAAUUCCGCUCUUCUAGAACAAACGGUGAGAGGGUUUUUAAGUGCUGUGGUGAACUAGCGGGAAAGCGCUGAGGGCUGAUGGUGGGGAGCUGGCCUGGGUGAUCAGGCUGCUGCGGUUACUAAGUCCCUCUUGCUGCUGUUAGGCCCCAGCUCUCCCAGAGACCAGGGGCUCCCUUCCUUCAUGGUUACACGUCAGAGGGCCAGCUCCCACGGCCCCGAGAAAGACACUCCAGGAUUACAGAAGAUCUGCAUCUCAAAGGAGCAGAGAAACAAUGUGCAAUUCCAAGUUUCCUGAAGUCUAUGCUCCAAGAAAUAAGAGGUCAAGGGCCUGGAGUCAGGAGAAAUCUUUCUAAAGGCAACUUGCCCAGCCCCCUUCUCUCCACUACACGAAUCCUUGUCAAAACUGCACACCUGCGGUGCGGCGCUGACAGCAGUGGGGGAGACCGUUCAAGAUUGUGACGGUGAUAGAAUGCUCCCAGCUGCAGGUUUUGGUGCAAAACUGCCUCCAGAUGGAAGGAUAGCUCAUGAGUUUGCUUUGGUUCUGGUACUUGGUCAUCUCCCUAUUGGACAUCAUCAGUGCUCUGCUUUUCAUAACCUGGGACAUAGACAAGAUGCUGAAACACCCCUGGCACCCAGCGCUGACCCCAGUGGACUCUCCCGUGGGUCUCCACC